Molecule: ribosomal RNA, 384 nt
Filed under: Crosnierius carinatus
Lineage: Eukaryota; Metazoa; Arthropoda; Malacostraca; Decapoda; Xanthidae
Description: partial 12S ribosomal RNA
Source: RNAcentral
UUAGAUACCCUAUUAUACUAAUAAUAACUCAGAUUAAUAACAGUUAUGUUCUUGAAAUUUAAAGAAUUUGGCGGUGAUUUAGUCUUGUUAGAGGAACCUGUUUUUAAAUCGAUAUUCCACGUAAAAUCUUACUCACUUUAUUUAAGUUUAUAUACCGUCAUUAUCAGAUAAUUUUUAAAAAAUUAAUUGUUAAAUUUUAAAGAAGUUAAGCAAAAUUAGAUCCAGGUGUAGCUGAUAGGUGAGUUAAAAUGGGUUACAAUAAAUUUUAUUUAUUACGGAGUAAUUAUAGGAAGAGAUAUUAAUGAAGGAGGAUUUAAUUGUAAUACGAGUUUAAUAAGCUUUAAAGAUAUAAGCUCUAAAUCAUGUACAUAUCGCCCGUCGCUA